This 111-nucleotide ribosomal RNA is filed under the name Enterococcus faecium. RNAcentral's name for it is "partial 23S ribosomal RNA". It matches the Rfam family "Bacterial large subunit ribosomal RNA", at positions 2814 to 2925 of the family's 2925-position model. Lineage: Bacteria; Bacillati; Bacillota; Bacilli; Lactobacillales; Enterococcaceae. The record is from RNAcentral.
UUUCUUUAAGAAAGUAAGAUCCCUGAGAGAUGAUCAGGUAGAUAGGUCAGGAGUGGAAGUACAGUGAUGUAUGGAGCGGACUGAUACUAAUCGAUCGAGGACUUAACCAAU